RNAcentral lists this long non-coding RNA (1542 nucleotides) under Equus caballus (horse). RNAcentral's name for it is "lncRNA (ENSECAG00000057046.1)". The record is from RNAcentral. Lineage: Eukaryota; Metazoa; Chordata; Mammalia; Perissodactyla; Equidae.
AUUUCCUGGAAACUUCUUAAAGUGAUAAGAGUGGCUCAAGAGCUGUGGAAAGUGACUGGUUCAGCGUCCUCCAAGAAGGAGAGUGAGGGUUCUGUACGUGUGCGAACCCAGGCCCUCCCUCCCUGGCUCUGAGUCACACAGGGCGGCCCCUGUGCGCGCUCCCGAGAGUCUUCAUGCCUCCUGCAGGGGGUGCCGAGAGUGCAUGGAGUCCCGUGUGCAGGGCGCCUGGCUCAGUUCCUGGCACCGAGGCCGCCCUCACACAGCAGUCCUCGUCCUACAUGUCCUCACCUUGCACUUGAGGAAAAUGGGGCUGCACACCACCCGUGACCAGCCCCUGGCCAGGCUUCCAGAGUAGCUUCUGCUGCAACCGCCAGCCACAGCAGGGCGAUGGGAAGGUACGUGGAGAAGGGUCAUCUGUGAGCUGUGUGGAACUUCUGCAGGACUGGGGAAGGCAUACCCCCUCCUCCAGGCUGCCCACGGGGAGUCGGCCGAGAGGAACAGCACAGAAGCCAAGAGGUCUUCAGUCAGAAGGCUCUGGGCCAAGGUGUUUCCAGGCUCGUGCACGCCGGGGGCACCUCGCUGUGCUGUGCCCCCAACCACCACACAUGCGCACACACACACACUCACACUCUCAGUGUUAGACCGUGUCGGAGAAGAGGCUGCGCUGAGGCCCAGAUGGCACCCAUGGUUCUCCAGCCUUGCGAGCGUGGAGUCCGAAUGGAAUAGCCUCCUCACUAUAGUCAUCAUGAUACUAACAUUUGUUGCAGGCACGUGCUUAACAGAUUGCAGCUGACUGCAGAGUCUGAGCCAAGCACAUCUGGAUCUCACUGAGGGCGUGGCAGAGAGCAGGGGCUUUGGAACUGGGUUCGCGCCCCAGCUGGGCCCCUCGCUAGCUGGGAGGGAGGCGGGGACUAGGCCCCGUGCUCGUCUGGGCUGGAGUUUCCUCUUCUGUAAAGUAGGGGUGGCAGCACCCACCACGCGGCAUUGCCUGAAAAGCCCCAGCCGGGCCCUCGGAGGACAGACAGCGAGUCGUGGCCAUUAUAACUGCUGUCAUUAUUUCGUUCUAGGGGCUGAUUGGAGGCCCUCUCUGGAGUUCGUCUUUGUUUCUCAAACUCCUUGCCAGAAAGCAUCCACUGACGUUAGCAGGAUGUCCGAGGAGCUCUGGCUGCGUUUCACCCUCAGCCCCAGGACUCGGCGUGAAUGACUCAGCUCCGACCGGGAAUCUCCCCUCGUUCAGUGCACACGUGAAUCUUCAGGGAAAUUCACAGAAAACUCGGGGAGAGUGCUGUGAGGUCAUUCGUGCUCUGCCUGGCACAUGGAUUUGGAUCAUGCUAUACACCAUAUUAUAACUUGGGAUUUUCUUUCACUUAAUAGAUUGUGAACACUUUUCCAUAGCAGUACAUAUGCGGACACCAUCACUUUCAGUAGCUUUAUGAUAUUUCUUAUAGUCCCUUAUUGUUAAAUAUUUUACUUAUUUAAUAAUUAGCUCCCUAUUGUUGGACAUUUGUUUCCAAUUUUUCACUAUAAUGAGCAGCACUGCCC